This 1129-nucleotide long non-coding RNA is filed under the name Gallus gallus (chicken). Lineage: Eukaryota; Metazoa; Chordata; Aves; Galliformes; Phasianidae. The record is from RNAcentral.
CAUCCCCCCCCCACGCACACACAACACACCACCACCCCCUCUCCCUUUCCCUCUCCUCUCCGCAGCACGCUUUAAAAAUGACAGCUGCCCACGUUUGUGAUUUUAGCGGAAAAGUUCUGAGCGGGCUGCAGGAGCGGCUCGUGGGCCAGGCCGCCGUGGGGCUGCGAUGGGGCCAAGGCGGGGCUGAGCACGGCCAGGAGCUGCGCCGGGGGGCCCGCCUGGCCCGAGGGGUAGGGCGCGGCGGGUGCGGCGCUGGGGUUGGUGCUGGGCGGCGGGGGCACGGCCCCCCCGAUGAUGUUGUCUAUGGAAAAAGAGGGCCGGGAGGGGUUGGUGGUGGCGGCGGCGGUGCCUCCGCUGCCCGCGGGCGUGGGGUCCGGCUUGAGGGUCUGGAGGAGGGCGGCGGGGAGGGCCGUAGGGCUGAGUUGGGGGUGGUAGAAGGACUUCCUGCAGUUCAGCUCGCCGCCCAGGAACGAGGGCAGCCCGGAGGCGGCCGAGAAGACGGAGGCGGCGGAGGGAGGCGGCGGAGCCGGGAAGAUAACAAAGUCAGACGAGUCCCCGUCGACCAAAGCAGGGCGAGCUUCAUCCCACAGCCGGCCCCCAUCCGAAGGGCAGCGGCCUAAGCAUCAGAAGAGGAUUUGGAGGUGAGAAUGCAACACCACGGCUGGGUCUGGAGCUACCUGCACCUGCAAAGGAAAAGCGAUCUCAUCUGGACAGCAGGACACGAAGGCCCAGCCCAUAGGGGUGCUCAUAGCCCAAGGCCCUGCUCCGAUGUAAUUGUAUCCAUCGUGGGAGAAGCCCCCUGUUGGACUUCAGCCUGACUCCAGCUGGUGUGGGGUCACCUGGGAGGUGCUGGGACUGUUCACACCACUCCCAGCCUCGCAGCAUUGGGGCCCAGAUGUCAGACUGGUUUUGACAGAUGGAUAAAGCAGCAGGGCAGGGGCGGGCAGGAGCACACAGGCAGGAAACAGGCUGAGUUGUUGCACUGAGAGAGGAAAUCCAAAACGGACAGAUGCUAAUUCCCACACAUGCUUUAUCACUCAGGGUGAUAUAAUAAUAAUAAAGAUGGCAACCGCACAGAUGGGAUGAGUCUUUCUUUACAACGACGCGAUGCAGAGUGAGUAAACCACAC